UUUUUGAUUUGGUUAUGUUGGUUUAAUUUUGUCAAUAUUUCAGAUAAGUUUGGUUAAAUUCGGUUAUUUCGGUUGGUUAGUUCGGUACAGGUUUUUGGUAUGGUUUGGUUAUAAUUUACUUUUUAAGAAAAUCAAUGUAACCGAUUGCCGAACCAAACCGAAAACCAAAUUUAAAAAAAAACUACCCAAUCGAACCAAACUCCUAUCCGAACUAACCAAAAUUUUUGCUUCGGUUUGGCGAGUUCAGUUUGAAAUCCCAGCCCUACUUUUGGUUGUCCUACAAAUGGUUUAACUCUACAGUUCAGAGCUGGUUUGGUUUUAGUUUCUCGAGUGUGGUGUUAGUUGCAAGCCAUUUACACUGUAAAAUAUUUUGUAACUCCAUAAUGUGUUUGUCUGAAUCAUGCAGGUUCCAUUUUUCUCCCAAAUGGAUGAUCAGUUGCUCGAUGCAAUAUGCGAGCGUCUAGUCUCUUCUCUGUGUACGGAAGGGACUUACCUUGUGCGUGAAGGUGACUUAAUCACAGAGAUGCUCUUUAUCAUCAGAGGUAGGCUCGAGAGUUCCACAACCAAUGGAGGCAGAACCGGUUUCUUCAACUCGAUCAUACUAAGACCUGGAGAUUUCUGCGGGGAGGAGCUUCUUUCAUGGGCUUUGCUUCCAAAAUCAACUCUGAAUCUACCCUCUUCCACAAGAACAGUUAGGGCCUUAGUUGAAGUUGAAGCAUUCGCUCUUCGAGCUGAAGAUUUAAAGUUUGUUGCCAAUCAGUUUAGGAGGCUACACAGCAAGAAGCUUCAACAUACUUUCAGAUUCUACUCUCACCAUUGGAGGACUUGGGCUGCUUGCUUCAUACAAGCCGCUUGGCGCAGGUACAAGAGAAGAGCUAUGGAGAAUCAUCUCACUGCGGUUGAAUCAAAGCAAAGUGAUGAAGAUGAUGAAGAAGAAGAAGUAGUGGUUAGAAAAGUAGUAGAAGAAGAGGAAGAGGGUGUAGGGUCGAGUCCAAAGACAAAGAUGAACAUUGGAGUUAUGGUUUUGGCUUCACGUUUUGCAGCUAAUACAAGACGUGGUGUUGCAGCUCAGAGAGUUAAGGAUGUGGAGAUGCCUCGGUUCAAGAAACCUGAAGAGCCUGAUUUCUCUGCUGAGCCUGAUGAUUGACUGCAUUCAUAUAAACAUAAAAGAAGCUGACUUGGUUUUUAGUUAUACUGGUGAUUUUUAUGAUUAAGUAACGCUACAUAUUUGAGCUUUCCUGGUUAUUGGGGAGUUAUAAAUUAAGAAAUCUAGUGUGUUUUGGUUUUUGUACAUGAAAACAUCUUUUGUAAUCUAAGCUUUGGAACAAAAGAUUCACUGGAAUUAUAUCUUCUGUAGAAGCAUUCUCGUACGUUGAUUGUUUUUAUUUUGACUGAGACUUGAGUCUGUCCUUUCAACCUUCACAUUCUUAUAAAGGUUCUUUUAGCGUCGAGAUAUUAACUCCAUGGUAAGAAAGGUUGUUUUCUUUCGCAUCUUCUGCAUAUUGCUAAAGAAGCAAUUUCUUAUUAGUCGAUGGGAGCCAAAGACUAUGAGAGGGCCACGGAAACAUGGUUUUCUUUUAGAUGAAAAGGGUGUUUUUUUAACUUUUUUCAGUAUCAUUUCAAUACACUUAAACUAGAGUAACAUGUAUUGUAAAAAGGGUGUUCAAAACACAUAAACUAGUGUAACACAUUGUAAAAAAGGUGUUUGUUUUUGUUGAAUAAAUUUAAUAUUCAAAAAAAUAAAAAAUAAAUGAAAGGAAGAUCUAUUGACAAUUUUGACUUGGUAUCUACACAUAAACACAAAUGAUGACCGAGAUGUCGGGACAAAUCAUAAUCUAUAUUACACGAUUACAUACAUAUUGGGCUUUUCUUUUCAUGAUGGCAACAUGACCGACUCAUUGUAAUCAUGGAUUCUGAGCAUACGAUUAAAUCAUUUACUAUAUUGAAAGCUUUCUAGAAAUUUCGAGUUCCAGAUAUUAAUAGAAAAUUAAGGAUCUCUUGCAUAAGAAGUUAGUCAUGCAUAUAACAGGUCCUGAAAUUAUCAGCCUUCUUAAAAACGGAGAAAAUGCAUUUUUUUUUGAACUGAGAAAAUGCAUUUUAGUUGAAUAGUUAUUCUAUCUUUUUUUUUUUUAAUUUACAGCAACUUGAACCUUAGUGUGUAAGUUGCUCACUGAAGAAGUUAAGUUCAUGCCCCCUUUCCAAAAAGCUCAAAUUCAACAUGAGGUUUCAAUCAUGUAAGGUGCAGAUUUGUGACCCCUUUUGGUUAUAAUAUAAUACAUAUCUUAUAUUCCUAAAUGAUUAUCUUCACGCCCUUUUCAUUGUUAUGAUAAAAGAAAGAAAGACUGGAAAAUAUAUUAAAUAUGAAACGGGUCUUUGAGUAAAGUUGCAGCAUUUGCUGCAUUAUUUUAGUUUCCACUUGAAGAUUAUUCAAUUACACUCUCAGGUUGGUCUGUUAUUAUGAGUUUAUUUUUGUCACUUCAAGAUCAAGUAUUGGCAUGGUGUAUGAUGAAUCUUUUGUUUGAGAUAAACUGAAUCUAUCUAAACUUUAAGAACUUUCAACUACUGCAGUGUCUAAUGCGUAUAAUCUUUCUUACUUUUGGCUGAUGAUAUAUUUAACAAUGAAAUGAGGAGACAUAAUGCAAAUCCACCAAAAGAUAAAAGAGGCCAUAAGGUCCAUAUAUAUAACUAAAUAAUUGAAUGAUAUAAAGGCAUGUUUUGGUUUGUCUUCUCCUUGUUCUAGUGCUUCUCUUUGGCUAAAAUCCUUCAUUUUAAAAUAAUAUUAAAGUAAUAUCUCCACUAAUUAUUUUUUGUCAAUAAUUAGGUUAAAGACUGCUUUAUAUAUAACAAAUCCAUAUUUGAUGACAAUGAAAGGUAUUGGACAUGCUUUUAUUAGUUAUGUUAUCAUGUAUAAACAAGUACCAAAAACGUCAACCUUAUCUUCCACUCUUAAGUAUUAAUACUAUAAUGUAAUAUCUUAAAAAGUGAAAGAAAAAUAAAUAUAUUUUGAAAGCUUUGUCUUCAAGUGUGUAGCAAAAAACGGAGUUAUCUAUGAAAAAAAAACAGAUAUCUAUAACUAAUGACUUGUAGCAAAAGAAAGUUUAUAGAGUAAAUAUUAAAAUAUCAUUUUUGAUUACUAAGUGGUUGAGACAUUAAACCAAUAAAAUGACAUUACAAUUUGUGCACUUUGUGUCUAGCGAUUUUCAAUUUUUGUGCAUUAAGAUCGAUUUUCAGUAGAUAUAUGUACUAUCACAACAAUAUUUGUAUUUAGUUUGAAAACAAUCUGAAUUUUGAUAGAUAAAUAAUAUAUAAAUACAUAUGCAUAUUGAUUGAACACAUGAAGUCACUUGGCAUGCAUAUCCUUGCUAAUAACUACUCCUCUCAUAAUAGCUUAUAUAUAAAAAGAAUUGUGGAUGUUCCCAAUGUAGUUUUUAAAUUCGAGCUAGAGUCUAUAUUGAACAAGAAAAUUCAUGGUGUCAUGUAGUUUAGAUCAUUGGACCGAAUGUCUAAUCGUUUUUUGUUAUCAUACGUUAGUUAGGUUUAAAUUUCAUAUCGGACCGGUUUGCAGAUUGAGGCUUAGAAUCAAUGGUCAUAAAUGAUAAAAUCAAAUUAGAUAAAAUCAAAUUGUGGCCUUAAAAACCCAAAGAGACCGAUCACUACGUAUGUAUGGUCCGACCGACAAUUUUACGUUCUGAAUUUUUAAACAUGUUUUCAUUAUAAGCCGAUAGUUUUUAACUUUGUUUUGAAGUCCCUCUAAAUCGUGUACUGACCAAAGUGAAACUCUAUUUAAAAUAGACGUCAAGAUGUUAAUCAAGAUCCUAAUUUAAACACUUGUAAAAACAUGCUAAGUGUAAAUCUUGUUGUCAAUACACUACUCACUAGAAAGACUUCAAUAUUUGCUACUUGAAUUAAAUAUAUUUAGCCCAAUGCUUAAUUCAAAUACAUAAAACCGGAAAAUAAAAUUGCAUUAAAGAAAAGCCUGUGAGGCUGUGAGUUAUUGAGUCUGAUAUUUGCAAUUUUUUAAAUAAAUAUUUGGUCCAUGAGAGUGGUUGGAUUUGCUGCUUUCAUUCUAAAAAGGUGAUAUAAAGACAAGCCACAUACUAGCCCAACCACUUAGUACUUUUAAAAGUAUAACUUUCUACUGAAAUAAAUGUCUUCUGAAUAUUAUAAAAGUAUAUAAUAGUAGUAUAGUUUUUCUAAAAUUCAGUAUGUUACGAGAGACUACAAUAUACUCCAUUAAACUCCAAGAAGAAACAUACGAAAGAAUAAUCAAAUAUAACCCUGAACAAAAUAUUAUAAAUCCACUAUGUCACCAGUAACAUCUCUGUAUGUUAAUUAAUUUCGUAUUUGUUUUCAUAUGUAUAAGAAGAUUCCUCAUUUUCUUUUUGUGGAUGUAUCAGCUUUCUACUUUCAUUUUUUCAAAAGAAACAAAAAAUUAUACUUUCAUAUCAUAUCUAAAGGCUGUAAGUUAUUCUGAGCCGUUGAUAACUCUUUUUUACUGUAAUGUUUUAACCGAACUUUUCUCUCCCCGCCAAAGACGGUUUGGAGACAUAACACUAUUUACAUCUUUCCCCUUCCCCAAUUCAAUAAUUACGAAUCUACCCCUCACCGGAAAAAAACAAAAACUACUCAAACGACCACCGUUCUUAUACUACUCGGAAGAUACCCUCCGGAUGAUCGAUCACUUACAUCAUCUUCAAGCUCAAUCCUAAUCACAGAAUCUUCUAACGAAGAAGACACUCGAGACUUCACGCUAUUCAAGCUCGAACUCAUUGCUUCCUCAAGCCACUCCUCUAAGCUAAUCUUGCUAAGCCAAAUCGCGCCAGCGAUUCUCUCCAGAGCAUCGUCUUCAAUCUCCACCGUUAGACCGUCAGAGAAACGUUUAUUUAAAGAUUCUUUGGUCUUAUUCUUGAUCGAACCAAAAUCAACCGAUCUAAAGACUAUAGCGUCGUCAGCUAACGCCACUAGCUUGUGAAGGAAGUUACUAUUGUCUUCUUGAUCGUUGUGCUCGACCGUUACAUCACUAGACGAAUCAAACUCGGCCGCUUCGUUCAAGUCGAAACAAAUCUCUUUCCUCUGCUUUGUUUGGUCGUUACAACGCCAGUUUGGUUUUCGUUUCCGUGUAUUGCUUCUGUUACAAACCGAGAGUUUUAGCUUCCAUCCUCUCCUCACCAGACUCUCUAGUCUUGUCUCGUCAAUAGGAACAACUUGUUCAGCUAAACCGUGCGACGAAUCUGUAGUCAGGAUUAUAAUAACGUUCCCUAGACUAACCUCACGUCCAUACGAAUCACAGAUCCUCCCUCGUUCCAUCGCUAGCUUCACGUUGUUACGCAGCAACAAAUCAGCUUCGUCGAUGUCUUCCAUCACAAUAACCGCGAACGGGUUUCUCCUAACGGUUUCCGCUAACCUAUCCAACGCCGUUUUGCCACGGAGGCUUAAACCAUCGUCGGUCCGUGAACCGGAGCCGAGGCUGAUGGUUAUCGGUUGGCUUCCCGAGACGAGAUCGGACAGCGCCGAGGCCAUUUUGGUCUUCCCGGUUCUGUCUGGACCGGUGAACAUUAACCAAAUAUCACCUUUUGAUCUCCCGUUUCCGUGUUUGCAUUCGGUGAUCGCUGAUGCUACCGAAGAGGCUGCGUCGUGCUGCCACCAGACGGUUUUCGCUAAGCCCUUGAGUAGCUUUUUGAAUAGAUCGAUGUCGAAUGAGUCUCCUAGCUUUCCGGAAAGGGCUUCACUAGUCUUCUUUUUCUCCGGUGAUGAUACAAUUCUGUUGUUGGAACGUCCGAGAACCAAAUCUGUAGCGAUUGGACUUCCAGGUGGAGUUAUGUCCGAUCUUGGGUUUGGUUUCAACAUAGACAAGGACGAAGGAGCCGUUAUUUCAGACAGAGAUGGUUUUGGAUGUAAACGCAAACACAAGUCAUUCCAUUUAUUCUGCAACUCCACUAUCUCUUGAUCUUUCGUCUACAAGUAAAAAGAAAAAACAAAACAAAAAUUAAUAUUCAAUGCAAAAACGGUUUCUUAUGUUGGAAUCAAUUCACCAAUAAGACUUACAGGUUUCUUGUCACCGACGUUGUCGGCUUUAGCGUUCUGCAGCCACUGUGGCAAGACCGACCGGUUAUCUCCGGUUAAUGAUUUUUCCAAUUUAGCGACGUCGUUUUCAUAACUCUGCAAACACAGAGAGCAACAGCCCAUUUUACUCGUCGGAAUCUGGGAGCUUCUCGUCGGAGAUAUGAUAUUACUGCUUAAUAAGAAGUUAUUAUUGUAGUUGCUCCCAAGCCUGAGCAUAACAAAAAAAAACUGAGACUUUGUCCGAAAAUUAAUAGCGAAACUCAACAAUUAAAUAAAAGACAAACCUUUGGAACAUGGUCGGGAGAAUAGAUUUAGCGGCGAUCGGAAUCGCUUGAAGAUCACAAUCAUUCUCCAUCGAAGGGUAAUAAACUUGACAUCGUAGAUAAGUCUCACACGUAGCCGUACCAAUAAAACAUAACCUCCCUUCGUACCUCUCCAAAAGCUUCCUCAUCUCCGCCAAAGCUCCUCCUCCGCCGCCGCCGCCGCCCGCCGCUAACCAUUUCAAAUCUCCGAGAUCAAGAACAACACCGCCGGUCAAACCCGAAUUCCCGAUCCGGGUCUCCACCAACCCGGAGAUUUCACCGAACCUCGUCGCCAUUUGCGCAGCUGACUCAUUCUCCAACCGGAUCACCUGAAAAUUGCGAAGCGGACCGUCGGAAAAUUCUCCGCUCUCGAUCUUGGCGAGAAUCUCUUUAACGAGAAUCUGAGGCUCCGAGUCUCCGACGAGAACCGGGUUUCUUCUCCGGGUCCGGGUCAUUACAUCGAUGACCCGUUUAACUUCGUCUGUCCUCUGUAUCACCCCCGAGGAACCGUUAUGGUGUAACCGGGGGUUAACGUAAGGAUUCCGGUUAACCGGAACCGGUACAGGUCGAUAACCGAAUCCAAUUGAAGACGGGUUAACCAUCCCGCCUUGUCUAACGGAAUUACCAGAAAGAGACUGUUCGAUCGCGGACUUCACGGCGGGGCUAGAGAAGCUAGCCUCUCGCAUGACCCGGCUUACGCUCGGGUCAUCGAGAAUCGAAAUGAUAAGCUGCUCGAGCUCGACUUUAACCGCCAAAAGCGGUUGCUGCUGCUGCUCCGGGCAACCGCGCCGCUGGUGAGCCUGCGCGCGUUUCAAAGCCGCGGUUAGAGCGUUUGAAAGAAGAGGAGGCUCCUGCGUUUGCGAUGGGGAAGAAGUUGUAGUAGUAGGGAGGCGUUCGAGGGCGACGCUGAAACAUAGCUCGAGAGCUCGGCACUGGAGUGGGUGAGAGGAGUUUGGGUGGGACUUGAUGCAAGCUUGUCGGAGAAAACCAGAGGAGGAUGAUAAGAGAGUGGCCGCCACGUGGAGGGGCGUCGUGUGGCCAUGGUUGCGACGUGUCGCCUCGGCGAUGGACUGGUUGAGAACAGUCGCUGCUUCGGGCGUCAGCGUUUGCUGUAUUGUAAUCAAAUCUGCUCUCAUCUCAACGAGAAGAAAGAAAAAGUCUUGGCUGCUGUUUUUCUUUUCUUUCUCUUUGUUAUCUUAAUAAGGAGAAACCUUUGCAUUAAGAGCUUUCUGGACCGGCCAAGAUAUUAAAUUUAAAAAGAAGUGAAAGAAAGUUUUGGCAGAGAAAAAUUGUUUAUCAGGUAAAAAAGGAGCAACACAAAAGAUGGCUUUUUACAGAAAAACAAAAGCGAUCAACAGAAAGGUAAAAUAGGAGCUUUUUCAAAAAGUUAUCUCUGUCUCUGUUCUUGAGUUACUGUGGACUUUCAUUGUAUCUGUCUUGUUAGUGUGAGCGCGUGUGAAAAAAGAAGAUUGGUAAAGAAAAAGAAAGAUGGAAUCAUCUGCUUCACAACAACUUCAAAAACUUUCUCAUAGCUUUUCAAUGUCUAAUCUAUCUAUUUUGUGCCAAAAAAAAAAAAAAAUCAUCUAUCUAUUUGAAUUUAUUUGACGCCAAAUAUUAUAACAUCAUUAGAAAUGACCAAGUUAUUGUGUCUGCAGCUAUAAUGGGACGAAAGCCUCAAAGUCAUUAAACUUGGUUUGAAAGUACCUUUUUAGACAAUAAACAUCCAACUAAUAUACGUAAUUUGUAAGACUAAAAUAUUUGCUUUGACAGAGUUGCAGUGUUUUCGAAUUUUUUAAUGAGCGUUAUUUUUUGGAGUGUAAACCAUUAUAUGAUUAACUUAUUUGACGAUUAAUUGAUUUGUUAAGCAUUUUUAUGUAUCCACUAGUUCAUCUACAAGAUAAAAUAUUAAUCUUUGUAAUUUGCUAUACGGUUGCGAAAUAUAUUUUUUAUGAAUAUUAUUAGAAUUUGUGUAUUUGAUACUAUUGUGGAAAACAAAACAGACUAAUUAUACUACUUUUGGAUGAGUGUGGAAAAAAGGUUACCAACUAGUAAUAAAGUUUUGAUGACGCAAUAAAAGUUGAAUCUAGUCAGAGAAAUAGGACAAACUAGUUUCGCGCGUCUGAAACUAGCGCGUGUACGAGAUCGCUUGAGUGUUUCGUUCCUGAACGUGAAGAGCGGUGUGCUCACGUGCCAUCGAAAACGUGUUGGUGAAAAAACGUUGGUUACUUUUUAUUUCUUUUAUCAUUCUUGGGUUUUACCUUUUUAAACGAAAUAUCUGUAUUUCACACGCAAUCCCUGCAAAAGGAAUCACAAAAAAAAAAAAACUUUCACCUUUUCGUAUUUGCCUUUUUACUCUCUUCUGACUCAUUUCCGCCGUUACAAAAGUUAUUCCUUUUCAACCUUUUUGUUAGAAUUUAGCAAUUAAUAUAAUAAAUACUAAAUAUUAAUCUCAGUUUAGUAAAUGUUGUGUAUAGAACUAUACUUGUAUAUCUUUAAUUUAUUUUAAAAGUGCCACCACAAUGAAUGGUCGUAAUCCGAUAUCUGUAUAUUAAUAAUAUCACAUGUGAUUCCGACGAUUUUAUUUUGAUUCAUAAUUUUGUAAGAAAUGUAAUGGAUUUGGCUAAAGGUUAUAUUUUACACAGCACCAAAAAAGAAAAAAAAUUACACAACACUCGUUCUAAAACAGAAAAAUAUUCCCAAAACCACAUUUAUAUUGAGAAGGGGAGCGUAGACAGGAGUCAAGCCAUGAAAAGCUAAUAAAUGAUUUGAAACAAAUGAAAUACAUCUGAACUUCUCAUAAUGAACGACGAUCCCAACGAACAUAUAACUUAGCUUUGAAGCUAAUAGACUCGAGAAUAAUGAUUAAUAGAUACAACACGAACAUUUUUAUGAGUUGCUAUUUUGACUCGAAGAUCAUAAUGUUUAUAACAUACCCAAAACUUUUAAAAGUAAGAUUUCCCCUAGACCAAUUUGAUAUAAACUUGAAUUUCAGUAACCAAAUGCUUGGCGACAGCUUGACAUCCUUUUGGAACAAGGACCAAAUCACAAAGAUCAUAACAUUGAUUGUGUUACCAACUCAACAAUAACAAUUCAUUUUUUCAUUGUUUGGAUAGAGAAUAUUAAAUGUAUAGACAAGAAUUGUAAGGUCAUCACAUGUGCCGAUGUGCGAGCCGACCCAAUAAAUUCAGAGACCAUUUAAUACACAAUCUAUUUUGUGCAAAAAGACUCAUACUUCUACACCAAACUCAUUGUCUUUUCAUAAUUUGUUACCCUUCAUAACUUGUCACAUUUCAUUUGUCAGAACCAAUAAUGCAAGGAAACUCAAAUACAUAUUCAUGUUUUUUUUGACUAAACAUAUAUUCAUGUCUCAAUAAAAUAAUUAGUGUAGGUAUUGAUUUGCCAUAAGAUCCAUCUAGUUCAAGAUGAAUAAAUUAGUUAAUUUAAGUUGUUGACAACUCCAAAAAGGUAGAAAGAGAGAAAAAAUCGUCCAAGCAGUCGAUCAAACUACUUGCAUGCAAUUUACGAGCGUAACCUUUAUUUAAUUUACCAGCGUAAAGUAGAAAAUAUAAAAAGUAACUGGGUAAGAGUAGCGCACGCUUUGCCUUUGGGUUACGCGUUUAUCGAGUUAACUCACUUUUUAACCAACUAGUCCUUUGCAGCCUUUUUACACUAAACUUUUCUCUGUUAUACUCUUCCCUUGUCAAAAAAAAAAACUCUCUUCUCUUGUCCAUACUCCACACACCUCUUAUUUUAACUUCCGAAUAUUUCAUUAAAAUUAUUUAUGUUUUAUGAUUAGGACUAACUAAAUAGGAGUACUGCAUACAUCGAUAAAAGAUAUAUCCUAAUCCCUUGUUUCCAAAAAACGAAAGGUUAACUAGGUAAACAUCUGCAGUCAGAAUACUCCCAGGUGUUACAUUCUAUAUUAGAUAUUAUCACAUCAGAUACUAUAUGCAUGUACAAUUUAGUGAGUUUUGGUUAGUACCGAUUCUUAUAUUAUCUUAGCAAAAUCCAUAAUCACCGCCCAAAUAUCAUAUACGCUCCUAACAAAACACACAAAUAAAAAUGAGUUUCAAAUCUGUAAGUGAAGGGCUAAAUUAAGAUUUGGACUAUCUUUGGAUAUCCUAAUUGUUUCGGAGUCAUUCUGUACAAGUCUACGAUGGGGUCUUUGGGUUCUUGGACGAGGCGGAAAUUGUCGUGUAGCGAUGGAAUAAAAAGAGAAAAAAAAAAGCUGACGCAGAAGAAUAGUUUUAUCGUAAAGGCCGAUGAACAUAAAAGUGCAAGUUUGAAAAGAGUUGAGAGUUUCAGCUUUCUGCAUUUAUUACAACUAUACGUACAAUUCUUGUCGACCUACUGUUUCUACGCAAUGACAACUUUGCCUUUUAAUUAUGCUUUAAAUACCACUUUUUCAUAUGGUAUAUAUAUGAAUCCUGGACAGAUGAAAAAAACUUUCUCAAAGAUCACUUAUAAAACUUAUUAUUAUUAUGAUGUUCAAUACUAUAAAUUCACCAAAGUAUUGAACAUCAUAAUAAUAAUACUAAGAAAAAAAUACUAACGAAAUAUAGAUUAAGAAACAAUAGAUCAACGUUAAACCGAAUCAUAAAUUAUUCAAAAUAAAAAUAAAGUUCUUGUUUUGUUAUUUUACUUUUUUCCCCCUCUAAUAAUGUUUUUGGUGUAUAAUUUGUCCAAAAAUGUAUUUAAAAUAUCGAAACAUUUUUGCCAAAAAAUAUAACAUUUUCGAGAGUUAAUAAUUGCGGUGUCAGAAUAAUUCUAUCAAAUUUCCGACCGAACUGAACUAAAAAAAGCGGAUUGAGCUUUUGGUUAUCAUUUCACGAAGUUAACCAUCUCACGAGACAUUUCAAUAAGAUUUAUCGACCACAGAAAAAAAUUUAAUGGGAUUUUCUUUUUGUUCAGCUAUUUUAGACAUUUUGGAGUUCAUAGGAACAUUACACCUAACAAAAAAAGUCCCCACGUUUACAUAGUUAAAGAAUAAUAACAUCGCUGUUCCAAACCCCAUUGUUCUUCCACGAUGGUGGCAUAAACCCCUCUAUUUUCUCUGACAAAACAUAUUCGUUCAAAAGCCUGCAAAUAUAUAAUUAUAGAAUGAUGAUUUCAUCUUUUUUUUUGUAACACUGAUGAUUUCAUCUUUAUUUCUUUACUAGAUUUUGACCCGCGCUUUAAAAGCGCGGAAUUUUUAAAAAAAUAUUAUUUUAAAAAAUAUUAUUUUAAAAUGACAAAAUAUUUAUAAUUAUAAAAGUAUGUGGUUUAAUAUUUGAUUAUCUAAUACAAUUAUAGUUUUGCUGAUUUUUUAAGUUAAAAAUAUUAAUAGAUAUUUAAAAUGAUAUAAAAGUUGGAAAUUUAUUUUCAUAUAUUUUUGAGAAAUAAACACUUUAUUCCCAACAGAAAGCAGUUAUCACAACCCAUGCAGUCGCUGUUCACACAAAGUUAGAGAAAAACAAAGGUAUAGAUAUAUCCAUAUCUUUAUUCAGAUAUCUAAAUGCAAGAAUCCUUGCAAAGUCUCAGACGAUGAAUGCAUGAAGUUAUGGUGACAUAGUAGGAGCCAUAGGGUUUUGAUUCUGGAGUGUAAUGGUUUGUGCUAGAAAGCGUUCGACUGCGUUUGACGCAGUCAUAUUUAUAAUAACAAUAGGAAAACGAUUUAGGUGUUUAGGUUAAUAGUAUUUAAGGAAUCACGUGCAGCAUAUUCUAAAAUAUAAACUUGAUAGAUAUUCUGAAUCAAAAUAUAGAUAGUGUCGUUAUUGAUUCAAAUAUUUGCGGAUCCUAUUUUAAUGAUGAGCAAAUUCGGUGAGAUUAUUUUGGAAACAUGUAUUAUAUAUUUUUCUACUUUUCGAUGCUGUUUUAAGAGAAAUUGAUAGAGAUUAUUUUCGAAGUUAAUAUCUAUAUUAUACAAUAUAUUGUGUCUCCCUAUAUUGUAUCAUACAAAUUGUGUAUCUUUUAUUUUUUUCUCAAGUUUGAAACUCAUGAAUUGACCACUCUCAAAAAUAUCUAAAAAAUAUGAAUUUAGAUGAGAAACUUUACGUAAAAAUAUAGAUGAAGAUGGGCGUUCACUAUUUCUAAAAAAAUGAGAUUCUUUUGUUAUGAAUUUGUAAACCGAAGUGUAAUUCUGUUGCUUUUUGAAAAAAUUAUUCAAAUAUAUAGAAUGUUGGAUAACACGUAUAGUACACAUCUGUAAGAAUGAUAUUCGGAAAUGACUAUAUGCAUUACAAUAUGCAGUUUUGAUGUAUGAUAUGAAAACGUAGACACAUUCUUAAUGCCUUAAUACGAAAGAGAAGUGUGUAUGAACCUAACAUUGAUGUUGAGAAGUGUGUAUGAAACUUUGAAUUACUUAUGUAGUAUGAGGAUCAAACUCAAUAACACAUUAACACACUGGUUGGUUUUGAAAAAUAUGUUAAGUGGAGAAUACGUUUGAUUUUGGUCCCACGAGCUGUAUGGAUGGUUCUGAAAAAUAUGUUAAGUGGAGAAUACGUUAGAUUUUUCCUUUGGAAUAUAGUCCUUUAUUUAUUUGUUUUAUUAAUUCAUUAUUGAAAAAAAAUGCAGUGGCAUAUCAUUGUAAUUAACUUUAAAAGGCAGGGGCAGAAUCCUAUUAGGGAUUCUGCUUUAAUAGUAUAGAUAAGCGAUGCUAGCGUUAAUAAGAGGCACUGUAAGUUUGUUACCUGCUUUAUAAUAUUACUGAAUUAAAAAAUUGUGUCAAUGACGUUAUUAGAUAUCCCCUCAAAUGGAGUAAGAAGUCUAGUCCCCUGAUUUUGAGGCUGCUUUAUUAAGAAGGGUGAGAAAAUUCAUUUAAAGAUUGACUCCAGAUAAGGAAGACUACGUACAGUCUAGGUCACAAAUGUAUUUGUCAAAUACAGUACAUGAUACCCGCGUAAGGCGCAACAAAUGCGAAACACGUCUGAUUACUACUGAUGAAUAUAACAAUAGAGUCAAAAUUGCUAACGAGAAGAUUGACUAACCUGAUAUUAAGAUUGUAAACCCCAAUUUUUAAUAUAAGCUAAACCCAUUAAGUUCAUUAGUUGGUAGGGGCGAAUCACAUUGAUGGCUCACUUUUCUUUUGUUAUAGGAGUAAUAAAUACAAAUUCUUGGUGUACUUUGAGUGAUUCAAGUAUCACAUGAUACCACGCUUACUUGUUUCAAAAUAUCCUUAAUUGAAAUAUUUUAUGCAUUUCUUAUGAUCAAGUUUUUUUAUAGUAAUUAAUUAGACUAAUCUAUUGGAUUACGUAUUAGAGAGUAGAGUCGAACUUUAUUGCCGAAUGCAGAGUGCUAUAAGCAAAACGUAUUUGAUUCAAUUCAAAAUAACGAAUUGAAAACAAGUUGAAUCAUAAUUUUUUUUUAUUUUUUUGACGCGGUUUCGAAACUUUGACGCUAAGAAAAUGUGAAUAUGUACAUGAUGACUACAUGUCCACCUUUCCCUCUCAAGGCGACGGUCCACAACAAUUUGGCAGACUUCCAAUUUCCAUUUCUAUCACUGUAUGGCUCUUUUUUCUUUUGGCAGCCACUAAUAUUACUUUUCUUUUGGGGGUCCAAACCAGUUAUAUCACUAUAUGCUAAUCUACACAUUUUAUAUGAUUUUCACUAAUAUCCAAAUUCAGAUUAAUUUGAAAGACACCAAAAAUCGUUUAUGGUGUGAAAAUGAUGCAUUACCAAUAACAAGGAUGAUUCUGAUAAGAAAAUUGGUUUAUUAAAAUAUUGAAAAUAGUAAUGCUGGUUUAAGAUUCAAAACUAAUUAAAAUAAGUCAUUGCAAAAUCAGAUAGGUUAUGAUUCAACCUUUCCUGUUCUAUAAAUUUCCAACCAAUAUGAAGGGGAUAUAAAAAGUGAUUUUGAUAAUUAUCUGAUGUGUGGUUGAAACAUCUCCGCAAAUUUGAAUUUUAGUUUGGUUUAAAUUUGUUUUAAAAGUUUUAGAUACAUAAAAGUGUACAAAUUUUAAACCAACUUGGUUUUGAUCGGUUUCUUCAGUUAUGCGGGGUUGGGUCGAUUUCGUUUAUUCGGAUUUUUACAUAGUUAAUUAACUAAUUGAAUUCUUUUCAAGGUGAGUUAGUAAACUAUGAGAAUUAAGUGUAUAGGGGCCCUUUACACCACUAGUGGGCUAUAAAACCAUGCACCCAAAGCUAUUAUGGGCUUUAGUUAGACAUGGAUCCAAAAAACCGCUCCAUAUUACUUCUGUUGAAUUGAAGACGCCAACACCAUGUAAUCAAUUGAAUAUACCUUUUUCUUCUUUUCGUCUACUCUUAGGUUCAAAUGUUUUGAUGAUUUUUGCUUUUUAACGAAUCAUUUUCACAGGCUGCCUCUCUUGUCUUUGGGAGUGACAGUUUAUCAAAUGAGAUAUAAAGUGAAACUUGGUUAGGGUUUAGGUAAUUUCACAAAUUAUCUCUCUCAGCUCUAGGAAGUUUUUUUUUUGUUUACACACUCUCAACUUAUGGUAUCUAGACUCUUGCUAGAUUUUGUCUGAAAAUCAGACGUGGUUGUACUUGUGGUAAUGUUUUUGACAGUUAAAAGAGAAAAUCAAUUCUAGACUCUAGUAAACUUAAAUACCUUUUUUGCUAGGCAUAAUAUCUCUCUCUCAACCAAGCACGCCGCCAAGCCCCCGUCUGGUUUAGAUCCGCCGUUCUCCGGUGUUUGGCGCUCCUCGCCGGCACCGAAGAUGAUUUUCUUGUCUUCUUUCAUCUAUGGCUGUAGCAGUUGGUGGUUCUUAGGUUGCUCUCCGGCAACAUCUCUUCCCCAUCAGGUUCAUGCUCGUUUGAGGAACAAGGAGGUUUAGAGGUUUGUCUUUUGUCUUGUUUAAAGAGGAUAUCGUGUCUCUAGCGCCGGUGAAGUUCGAUGGAUGGAACCAGUUUCGAGUUUCCUCAGAUCUGUGUACUCUGAUCUUGUUUCUCUCGGGAGUUUGAAUCUAAAGCUUCUCUAUUGGGUUUUAGUGGUUGUCUUCGGUCUUGUUUCAGUAACGGUGUAAGCGGUGGGGUAACGGUGGCGUAGUGUUGUGUGGUGAGCAGAACAGGCCUACAUCCUUCAGAAGUUUCAGAUAUCCUGUCACCUCUCCAUAUCAGUUAAGGAGUCCUUCUCCCGGCCUUUUAAUAAGUGUUUCUCCCGGAUGGUCUUAUGUUUCUCUGUUCCUCGGUGGCUUCGUUCGUUGAAGCAAUACAGAGAGGUUGAGGUCUUAGGCCUGCCGACGAAGGUUUGGUUGAGAAGGGGCGUUUAACCUCAGGUGUUUGUUUCCUCUUGAAUUUGGUAGGUUUUGUGGUUCUGGCUUGGUAUCGUGAACUGGAGGUUCAGGUAUGUUGAGUUUGGUUUCGUUGUAUUGGUCACUGCAUCGCUCACUCUCUCUUGUGCUUGUAUGGGUUUCGGCAAGAGUUCCGGCUGUUUCAAUGAUUAAAGGACUUUCUUCUUUCUCCUGGUCUAGGAUUGUUUAUGGGUUUAGAUGCAGGAGUGUAGUUUUAUCUAGUGAUAAUUGUAGUUGUUAUGUGUUGCCCGUUGUUUGGGUUCUAGAUUCUCUUUUGUGAGCUAAGUUUCCGGGGAUUGUAAUGUGUUUCCGCCGGUUUGGAUUCCAUCUUUGUAUGUUUCUCAGUUUUAUAAAUUAAAUUCAGAUGGAAAAAAAAAAAAAAAGACUCUAGUAAACUUAAAAAGUGGUUAUGUAGCACACCGUUGAUAAGAUGCAAUAAAUAUAUGGAUAUGACAGCUUCACGAUCCAACAACACCAGUAAGUAAGACAAUAAUAAUCAUAAAUAUGCCCAUAUGUUUAUCCUGACCCAGCCCACUGAUAUAUUGAUUGUCCUUUUUACCCUUUUACAUUCACAACGUGCAACAAGUACCUCGCAUUUAAUACACUGCUUUAUAGUACAAAAUUACAAACCAUAUAUCAAAUCUGCCGUUCAUAAGAUCUUAAAAGUUAUUAGGGCAAGAAUGUAAAAAAAAAAAUUGAGGAUUAACUCAUAGAACAAAAAAAAAAAAAAACAUCUUCUUAUUGUACUAUUUGACUCUAGUAAUGUUACGUAAACUCAGUCUAAAAUUUCAAAAAUGCUUUCACAAGAAAGGAAAAAAAUCAAGUAAACUUUAUAAAGCUUUAAGUGGCAGUUAUGUAAAUGUGUAGUCCACAUGUGGGCAUUUUCUAGUUACAGUUUAGAAAAGUCAUAAAUAAAGCUUUUCGGGAAAAUCUACUAAACACAUGCACAUCGCAUCGAACAUACAGAUUAGCUCUGUCUUCGAAACACUUAAAAAACUUAAAACAAAUAAAUAAAAAAAGCUUUUGAAUUGUCUCGGGAACAGAACUCAAGUCUUCGAAGUUCGAUCAAGUUUCAGUUUUUUUUUUUAAUAUUAAUUUUAAUCUGUUGUUCACUAACGAAUUUGAUCACCGGAGAGAUAUGGAGGAGACACCGAGGUCCGUCGGCGAGGCGUCGACGACUAACUUCGUGGUUGCACGACCGUCUGCGAAGACUGAUGACGCGGUGACGAUGAGAGGCUGUGGUUUCGGUAACUUCGGUGUAGACAGAGAGGAGCUUCGUCGGAGGAUAGUGAUGCCUGAGUAUCUCCGACUCGCCAUGCGAGAUUGCAUCAAGCGGAAAGACUCCACCGCGGUUCCGGACCAUUUGGUACUUCCCGGCGCCGCCGCCGCCGCUACGGAGGAGUUAGCUCCUCAUACACCGAUGGUUGUGUUUAUUAAUCCUAAAAGUGGAGGUCGUCAUGGACCUGUUCUUAAAGAGAGGCUUCAACAGUUGAUGAGCGAAGAACAGGUCACUUGUUCUUGUUUUGUAUAUCAGAAAUUAAAGAUCGUAACUUUUGAACUCAUCUUACUUCAACUUUGCAUUUAUAUUUGAUGUUGGGUGAAAUUAACUUAGUUCAUGGUUCUGGGUCAUUACUUCUUCACUUAUAUGAAGAGGAUCUUAAAUCUAGAUUUGGGUUUAGAUUGUGGAUGGCAUCACUCUGAUCUAAAGUAUGUGGUACAAGCAGAAUCUAUGUGGGUUUGAGAGCUAGAACAUUCUUAGUGUUUUGUCAGGAUCAAAUCUCAUGUCUUUCUCUGAUUCUAGUCAGUGGAAGUCAGACACUGUUUUGACUUAAAAGAUUCUGAUUCCUGUGUCAAAAAGUUUUCUUUGGUACUUGAAAAAGGUUAAAAUUUUACUUGUCAUGAAAAAGGCAGAAACUUUAUUACUCGGAUUGUAGUUUUUUUUUUUUUUUUUUUUUUGCAAUUCUGAUAAUUGUACUUGCUUUGUGAGCUCAUGGUGGUUAUUAUACAAUUACAGGUAUUUGAUCUAACAGAAGUGAAGCCCCAUGAAUUUGUACGGUACGGUUUGGCGUGUUUGGAGACUAUUGCAGCGAAAGGAGAUGAAUGCGCAAGAGAAUGCAGAGAAAGGAUACGGAUCAUGGUGAGUGAUAUGUAUAUAUAUAUUUUGUGACCAUCUUCAGCAAUUGGAAUUGAAUUUGUUAAGUGAGUGGUCAUAAUGAUGAUUAUAGGUGGCAGGUGGUGAUGGUACAGUUGGUUGGGUACUUGGUUGUCUCGGUGAGCUUCACAAAGAAGGAAAAUCACAUAUUCCUCCCGUUGGUGUCAUUCCUCUCGGUACAGGAAACGACCUCUCUAGGAGUUUUAAUUGGGUGAGUGAGUCUAAUAAUGUUUCUCUUAGGUUUUGAAUAACUGUUUCUCACUCUUUAUGUCUCUUUAGGGUGGUGCAUUUCCUUUUGCUUGGAGAUCUGCUAUGAAAAGAACAUUACACCGAGCAACUCUAGGCCCCGUUGCUAAAUUAGAUAGCUGGAGUAUUGUAGCGUCGAUGCCAUCUGGAGAAGUCGUGGAUCCUCCUUAUUCUUUGAAGCCUUCUGAGGAAACUGCACUUGAUCAGGCUUUGGAUGCCGAAGGAGAUGUACCUCCUAAAGCAAAGUCAUAUGAAGGAGUAUUUUACAACUACUUCAGCAUAGGUAACUUUCUCUUAUUCAGUAUCCUUGUACUCAUUUUUUUUUUGAGGUAACACUUGUAUUGUUUUGUUAAGGUAUGGAUGCUCAAGUUGCAUAUGGAUUCCACCAUCUCCGCAAUGAGAAGCCAUAUCUAGCUCAAGGUCCCGUUACAAAUAAGGUUGUUAUAUUUUUGUUAAAAAGCUAAUGUUUCACUUAUUAGCUGAGUUUAUAGGGUAUAUAAUGAGAUUAUGAAUCACACUGCAGAUUAUUUACUCAAGUUAUAGUUGCACUCAAGGUUGGUUUUGUACACCUUGUGUCAGUAAUCCAGGUUUAAGGUUAGUAUUUCCAGUGAAGAGCUUAUUCUGAGUUCUACUCCUCUCUAUCUUUUGUUGUGUUGACAUGUUGUGGUAAGAUGAAUUUUUGUAGGGGACUAAGAAACAUAAUGAAAAUCCAUAUUAAAAAGGCAAAUUGCUCCGAGUGGGAAGAGAUCCUGAUUCCUAAAAGGUACAAAAAGUUUAAUUAUAUGCAUUGGUUAAAAAAACAUUAUCAUUCACUUAUACAAUCUCUCUGUUUUCUUUUUGUGUAGCGUGAGAUCCAUUGUGGUAUUGAAUCUUGAUAACUAUGGAAGUGGAAGACAUCCAUGGGGUAAUCUGAAACCAAACUAUCUAGAGAAGGUAAUGUUUCUCUAAAAAAAAAAUUCAGUACACUAAUGUUUUGUUUCUUUGCUUGCUCUUCAAGCUUCAACAAAAUAGGUUUUCUUUUUUUUUUUGUUCACAGAGAGGAUUUGUGGAGGCGCAUUGUGAUGACGGGCUGAUAGAGAUUUUUGGAUUGAAGCAAGGUUGGCAUGCGUCAUUUGUAAUGGCUCAAAUCAUCACGGCUAAGCACAUUGCUCAGGUAUAGAAAACAAUCUGUCCUCGGUCAUGUCCCGGUUUAGCCUCGGUUUCAUCUUGACCGGUUUUAUCAAUAUUUUCAGGCUGCUGCGAUUAGGUUUGAACUAAGAGGAGGUGAUUGGAAAGAUGCGUUCUUGCAAAUGGAUGGUGAGCCAUGGAAGCAACCGAUGAAAACUGAUUAUUCUACUUUUGUGGAGAUCAAAAAGGUUCCUUUUCAGUCGCUAAUGAUCAAUGGUGAAUGAUCUCAGCAUUUUCCAGAGGUUUUAUGAGAUGAUGUGAUAGGAAAAAAGAGGAGCCUGAUCUAUUUGUAUUUUUAUUAAUUAGUCAAAAUAGCCAUCUCUGUUCAUCUUCUGCUGCUGAUGUUGUUGUUGUUGUUGUGCCUAUGAUGAAUGUAUUUUUGGAAGGGAUUGUAAUUUAUGAUGAUGUUUUCAGUAUCUAUUAAAAAACAGUCAAGUUUCAAGCAAUCAUUUGAAGAUGGUCUUGUCUUUAAAUCUUGUAAACUCGUCAUGUUUAAUAUGCUUAUCCAUGUCUUUUCUUCACUGUUUUGCAAUCGAUUUAGUGACAACAUUGAGAAUGACCCUGUGAUAUAACUAUUCUAUGAUACAAUUCCUAACUGUUAUGAAAAGUAUAUAUUAGGAUCUAAAACUUAGGAUCUAAAACUUUAAAAUUUGAGUAAGUGUUUCAAAAAAAAAAGGAUCUAAAACUUUUUAAUUUUAGAUAUACUUCAAAAUUUUGGGUUUAUAAUUUUAAAAAACGUUAAAUAUAUAUAAACAGAGCUACUUUUUUUUUGUCAAGAUAUAAAUAGAGCUAUUAACUUUUAAAACUACAUCAUUAUUAUUUUAAUCAUCAUUUUUUUAAAAUAUAGAGUUUAGAAAUAAUUUGAGACUACUAGAUUAAAAUAGUUUAUUGUCCAAAAUUUGAGAUAUGUAUAUAAUUACUUAAGUCUUAUUAACCAAAGGAAAUGGUCCUCACACAAACAUACAUAAGAAAACGUCCGAAAACAAUCGUUGUCUGGUUUUCCCGACCGCACGUUAAAACUUCACCAAUAAUAAAUAACGCUGUAUACAAAAGAAAGAAUAAAAUGAACGCAAGAACAACUUCUUUUGGUAUGAGUUUUUUUUGUGAGAUGUACAAAUGGAUCAUACUCAAUAAGGCCUCACCCCAAGAAAAUUCCCCGGUGGAAAGUAAUUGCAAGCGAAUAACACACCGCGUCCGCCAUUGCAAAUCACGUGAGCGCAGCCUAUCCUCUGCGUGUUCUUCCACACAAUCUGCGUGUAAUGGCCACACAUCUCGGCCCUACACGAGUUGGAGUAAUAGUUAUAGCUCCUUGCUUCGGACAACCAUCCAUUAGCGGCUUGAACCGGGCUCCAUCUUUUGCCUGAUCCCCAGAAUAGAUUCUCACCGUACGGUCCAUUCGAAUGGAUCAAGGCGCAGUCACGGCGCCUCUGGUUGGCCCACCACUGCGCGUAACGGGCUAGUUUGGCGUCCCACUUUAGCGGUUUGAGCCUCAAGCGAGCUCUUGCUGCGUUUUGUGGACCCACGAAUUGUUGUUGGUAGUUUGCAGCAUCAACGCAAUGAAAACAUGCUACGAGUAUUAGUAUGAGAGCCGCGAAUGCAGACGAAAACCUAUUAAUGUGUUUAGGAGAAGCCAUUGCGGGUGAAGCUUCACCUAAUGGUGUUUACUUUGGUUUUAUAUAAGCUUCAAAUCGUGAGGGGAAAUUUGUUUAUAUGAUUUUUUAGUGAUAUGUAUUUUUAUUUUAUAUACUAAAAUAAGGUUUUAGUGAUGAAAUUUCAACUCUAUUAUUAGUGGUGUACAUGUUCGAUUAUGAUAGCCACAUUUGAAUUUGUUUUGAAUUCUUAGAUUUUGUAUAUAACUAAGCAUGUAUUAUAGUAGUUUAUAUAUGCUUAACGUAUAUUUUAUGCAUAGUAGGUAAGUUAUAUAUUAAUCGAUAUUGUAGACUACCCCAAAAAAGUCUUGGGAGGCGAGAUGAUUUAAUGUAAAGAAUUGUUCGUUAAUGGUAUAAUAUUAUUUAUAUAACCGAUAAUUGUUUUUUAACUAAGUCAGCCGGCAAUAUUUAGGCAUAAAGUUUAGUUUUAAUUUAUUAUUACCAUUUGACAUUUUAUAUAACUGAUAGUAUAAGUUUCAAAGUGGUUCUCAUUAGACCAGGUUGGAGUUGUGUUGGAUCCAAAAUGCAAAUGAGAUAAAACGCCUAAAAGCCCACAUAGUGCAACAAAAGUAUAACUCUAAUGCACUACAUGAUUAACUAUGAACAUUAUAUUCUAUGCUGAUUGUCAACAAGUUCAAAGCCAAGCUUUAUUAUCUACUAAUAAUAGCAAUCUCAGUUAAUUCCAAAGGUUGUGAAUCUCACUUAUGUUGAAAGGUUGUAUCUUUUCUCAAAAAUCUAAAAAUGGUUGUGUUUUUUCAAAAACUUCAAUGUUGGAAAGUUGUGUCUUUUCUAAAAAUUGUCUAAAUAGUUGUGUUAUUUUUUAUGACGUAAAUACUCAAAAAUCUCUUUGUACAAUUCUUUGUUUAUGAGAUGUGUAUAUGUUAGAGUAAUGGGUUAUGUUGUGUCUUUUUUUUUGUAAAAAAAUUGAUAAGUUGUAACUAUUCAUGUAAAUAUCUUUUAAAAAGUGAAAAAUUGUGAUUUUUCUUAUAAGUACCUUUUCAAAAUAACUACCUUUAAAUUGGAAGAAUGCGACUAUUCAAAUAAAAGAGUUGUGACUAUUCAAAUAGAUUUUUAACUUCUAUAAAUAUCUCUGCCAUGCAUUUCUCAAAAUAAAAAUUUCAGUACUGAACUAAUAAUAAAAUGGUGGAAAAAAAAAGUUUUAAGCAGUUACUUGGAUAAAUUUUUUUAAAAGACAUUCAAAUGAAACGUUAUAAGCAAAAAAUAGUAGGCAUGAUUUCUUUGCAAAGCUUAAGAAAUUGUAGAUAAAAUAUAAAAUACAGAUUUUUCUCAUAAAUUUUUCUAAUAUUAUUUCAACGCUUUUUUGUCUAAAGAUUUGUUUUUUAUUUUUUAAAAAUGCAUAAUUUUUUAAGGAUUCUCAAAAUUGCUGAGGACAUAUAUUGUUAUCCUAAAUUAUGCAUAACUUUUUAAAUGAGCUAUAUUUUAUUUUAUUUUCCUAUCUAUUUUAUAUACAUUUAAAUAUAAUAUUAAAAUUAUCUAUAAAUUUCAGAAAAUUUAAUUUUUAGAUAAUUUAAUUUUUUUGUAAGAUAUAUCUAUAAAUUAUUGUACCUAUUGAUGAUUGUAGUCUUUACAGAUGAACUAUUGCAACUAUUCAUAAUAGUAAAUUUUGGUUAAGAACCAUUGCAAUUUUUGGUAUUGGUUAUUAAUCAUUGUAACCUUUAACUCUCUAUAUAAAGAGUUGUAAAGUUGUGUGUAUUAGUAAAUCAUAAUUUAAAACAAAUAAAAAAUAGAGAGAAAAAGAGAGAUUCACUUUUUCAAUUGAUCAUCAAAGAUCCUGAAGAAAUAAAUCAAACACAAAACUUUAUUUGUUAUUCAUGUGCCUCCUAAUUAGCAAACCUGUUUUUUUUUUUGUUAACUGUUGAUGUUAUCAUUUUUUAUAGGAAAAACAAAAUGCAUCUCCUGGUGAAGCAAACAACAUCUUCGUUUCUUAAAGCAAACGACAUAUUUUGUCAUCCCUGAACCAACGUCUUCCUCGAAUAACAAUGGCACCUCUUUAAAAGAUUUAUUUAUAUAUGUCAUUCUCUCUGAUAUUGUACUCUUUCCAUUGGUUCUUUUAUAUCUUUUAAGAUUUUUAUUAAUCAAAGUUACGUCUUGUUCUAUAUUUGUAGGUGUUUAAUUACUAGAUUCCAUUAAUUAAAUAUUAAUGGGUUUUGGAACAACGAAGUUGGUACCAUCUUUUUCUCUUCAAAUUUUUUUUUCACUAAAGGCUUGCAAUAAUAGAGAAUGGAGAGAUAUCAAAGGCUGUAGCCUGUAGUCCCACUUGUUCCAAGGUGAUUUCUAGUUUUUUGACACCUUUUGUCAAAUUAGUGUUAUACUUCUGUACGAACGAAGAGAUGUCAUUGGACUCAGACUUUGAAAAUUUUGUUUGGACGUGUCUUUCCACAAAAACUGAAAUAUGUUAGUUAUAAGAAUUGUGUUUUUACGUAGUAGAAUAUAUUAGAAAGGUAUGCCUUUUUUAUAAAAAUAAAUGAAGUCUAUUAGUUUCAUAUGUUGUGUAUCUUCAUUAUAAAAAAAAGUUAUGUCUUUUCACAAUAAACUAAACUCUAUUGAUUUUAAGAAUUGUGUCUUUUAUGAAAAAUGAACUCUAUUAGUUUUAAGUUGUAACUUUUCAUCAUAAAAAAUAAAUUAGUUUAAAAGUAGUUAAAAAUAUCUCAGUAGGUGUUUUUCUACAAUUAAUAGUUUUAAGCGUUGUGUCUUCUCAUUAUAAAAAAACUAGUAAUAAUAAUCUGAAAUAAUGUUAGAAAUUGAGUCUUUUCAUAUAAAAAAUGUAUUAGUUUUAAGAAUUGUAUUUUACAUUUUUAAAAAGAUAUAUUUUUAUAAAAACUGAAGUGUAUUAUUGUAAGAGUUGUGUUUCUUCAUUAUAGAAAAAUUUAUGUCUUUUCAUACCAAAAAAAAAACUGAACUCUAUUAAUAUUAAGAGUGGUGUUUUUUCAUUGUAAAAUAAAUUAGUUUAAAAUAAUUGAAAUAUUCCAAUAAGUAUGUUUCUACAAUUAUUUAGUUUUAAAGAGUCAUAUCUUCUCAUUAUAAAAGAUAACUUAUUUUUGUAACACAUUUAUUUAUUUACAAAAAAUUGCAAACAGUUUUCUAUAAAAGAUUAUCUUAUAAAAUAUGAAAUAUCUAUUUUUAUAAAUGAGUUACUGUGCGACAUCGCACGGGUUCCUUGCCUAGUUGUAUAAGUAACGAAAAGAAAGAUAUGCUGCAGAGUACUAUACAGGUUAUGUUGAUCAGGACACUACGCAAGAGCUUGAGCGAUGAUGGACCGAUAAGACAAUUGUUGUUCGUAGGGUCACGUAAGAUCCUUAAGGUUUGAUGUUGAAUGAACCACCUAAAUUCCAUCACAUUUGUCGCAUAAAUGACAUGAUAAAUGUAUGAAUUUGGGUACCCAAAGCAAUGAAGUUCGAUAAGCGUAUACUCGUCCAGCUGCGUUCAAAGCUUUCAUAGCAUCAUGGAGAAUAUUGCUGCUCCCAAAAGAGUAUUGUCUCUUUCUUGGGGAAGAAUAAUAGGACAACCUGCUAGACCUAUCCAAUGAGAUUACUACGUUUUUGUGUGUGAGUGAUUAUACAUCGUUUUUUUUGUCAGUCCCCCGUCGCAUCGUUAUGUUAUUGAUCCUAUUUCUGUUCAGGGCUCAGUUGGUCGUUGCUAUCUAGAUUUGUGUACGUUAUUAACAUUGAGGCAGAAUGAUGCAUUUUAAUUUCAAAUUCACUAAGCAGAUGCCUAGGAAAAUACUAAUGGAAUUUUAUGUAGUUUUUUUUUUUUGAAACACACUUCAUUCAAUUAAUAAAAGUUAGUUGGAGGUCAUAAAGGCCUCACUUACACCAAGCAACUGCUUUGCUACUAAAUCAGCAGCAUAGUUCCUCUCAGAACCUUCCAAAUUAACAUUUUGACUUUAGGCGCUGUUCUUAGAUUCCAAACCUCUUGGUUCCAGUUGCCUGCUAGCUGUAGGUUAUCUGCAUCAUUUGUCUCGUUGAAAGCAGCAUGAUAACUUAAGUGAUUUUUAAAGUUUAUGUAUUCAUAAAAGUUUGGAAACAAACGUUUACUAACUUAAGUGAUGAUUUUGAAAAAAAUAUUUGAUAUUUUUUUUAAUUGAACGUUUGUUUCCAAACUUUUUAGGAUCUGUAUUAUCUCUUUAGAUCUUUUUUUUACUCUUGCCAGAUUAUGACUAAAUUAAAUUAAGUAAUAAAUCUAAUAAAUCUGCAAUUGUUUUCUUUUAGAAAGAGAAGUUUCAGUUAUAACUUUUGUUAAAUUAUUCAGAAAAUAUAAGUAGAAAUAAAAUCUACCAAUUCUAUAACUUUCAAUUACUAGAUUCUUUUCUCUCUCUUAUAUUUUUAAUGUUUUGAGAUUUACUGAUUUGUUAGGAAAAAGUCUUCAUAAUUUGAUUUUGUUGGGUCCAUAUAAAAGCUAAUUGUACUCUUCCAAGACCUUGAAGUUUAACACAAUAUUUAUAGGGCUUCUCCAAUCGACAGGUAGUAAUUCUCGCUGAAUAUGAUCCGCCAAGAUGAACAACUGCAUGAAAAUAAGAACACCAAUCCUCCACCGCAGCUUCCGCCGCUCAAUCUACAACCUCAUUCGUUUUCUUCACUCCCAGAUGUAAUCGUUGAGAACAUUCUUGCUCGUAUCUCGAAAUGCAAUUACCCUAACCUCUCUCUCGUCUCCAAGAGAUUCCUAUCUCUCCUCUUUUCUCCAGAAAUCUACACGACACGUUCUCGCAUCGGAACCACAGAGCCAUGCAUCUAUAUCUGCGUGGAACGUUUCAAAGACCUUGGUCUUAAAUGGUACACUCUUUGGACGAAACAUGCUCAUGUUGAAACAUUAACUGUUGACAAUGCUCAAGAAGAUGAUCUUCCAAAUAACGAAUAUUCGCUGGUUCCCCUUCCUGAAUCUAAUUCUCUCGUACCAUUUAUGGAUUGCAUAAUGUAGUGGUUGGUUCGGAAAUCUAUUUAUUCGGUGUGACCUCCUCUGAACAGCCUUCUUCAUCUGUUCGUAUUCUUGAUUGUCGAAGUCACACGUGGCGUGAUGGCCCUAGCAUGUUGGUGGCUCGAAGGUGUCCCUAUGCUGUUUUUCUCGAUGAGAAAAUAUAUGUAUUUGACGGUUGCGGGGAAGAUGAUACUUGGAUGGAAGUAUUGGACAUGAAGACUAAUACUUGGAGCCCCUUGCUUAGACAUAAAGAUGCUGUGCUAGAAGAGGGGUGGUUAAAUACAGUUGGGCUUCAAGGAAAGAUUUACCUAAUUACUAAAAUAAACUACUGUGCUUAUGACCCAAAACAAGGUACGUGGGAAGUCGUGGAAGUCCACGAUAAUUUGGGAUAUUUAGGCAAAUUGUGUGUGAGUGUGAUAGAUGAUGUAAUGUAUAGUUAUUCAUACUACUCCGAUAAUCUAGUCUGGUAUGAUUCCAAAUGUAAAAAAUGGAUAGACGUCAAGCUCUCGAAUUUCGAACUAUUGUAUGAGUGGCGUAUGGUUAAUAUACUCAACCACGGUGGGAAACUUUUAGUUAUGUGGCUCUGCAAUUUUGAGGAAUACGACGAGAUAGAGGGAUGGAAACUUAGGUGCGCGAAAAUCAUGUUAGAGAAGCGCCAUGGAAAUGAGGUUUGGGGUGAGAUAGAAUGGCCUGUUACUGAGGUUAAGCUCCCCGAGUUGUCUGAGCGCUUUAAUUCUCUAGUCAUUUCGAUUUGAUGAUUCGUGAAAGAUGGUGUGUUUGAACUAGUUGACCUUACUAGUCGUUGUGUUCUUCUUAAAUGAGCAUGUUGUUUUUAUGGUCUCUCAUGAAAAUAGUUUGAGAUUUAAAAUAUAUUUUUAUAUAUGCAUCAUUAUUGUCACAAUAUUAAGUUGUAAUGCUUUAGAAACAUUUCCUUAUCAACAUUGAGAAUGGAGUAUGGACUCUUGUGUCCUAAGGGCAUCUCCAUCCCCAUUCCAUUUUUCUUUCUAAAAUGGAGUAAAAAUAAAUAUGGAGUAAGGAAUGCUGCAAUCCAACUCCAUAUCUCACUCUAUAAUGAAAUCUACUCCAUAAAUGGAGUAAUCUAUUUUUUGUUUGUUAAUGAAGUGAAAAAUGGAGUAGAGAUAGAGCAAUUUUACUCUAUUUUCACUUUUACUCCAUUUUGAAGGAAAAAAUGGAGUUUUACAUUGGAGAUGCUCUAAGUUCGGUUUCAGUCGUGCACCUUGAACCUUAGACCUCUCAGCUGAAAAUUUGAUUGAUAAAGGCUUUCUCAAUGAACAUGUCCAACGGCGAUAGCUCCGGAAAAUCAAUUUCAUCGUCUUUAUGACAUUUGGCAUUAGAACAGCUCCAUCCGUGAAGCCGCUUGAACUUCUUAAUGAUAAAUGUAAUAUUUAAUAUCCCAGCCGUUUCAAAUUAUACGAUGUUUUAUAAUGUUUAUGUUGUUUCAAAAUAAUGAUGUUUUUGAGAUUUUAAGGUUAAAUUUAACUUUAUUGGAAAUUGUUCAACUAAUACUUCCUAUGUUUUCGAAAGUAAGAUUUUCUAAAGUGUUCACGUUUAUUAAGAAUUCAACAAAUGUUUAUAAUUUAGUUUUUUUUUAUUUUAUUAUACACUUUCCAAUAAUGAACAUAUUUGAAACUGAGUACAUGAAACUUUCAGUAAAAAAAAAAAACUCUUAAGAAAUGCGCUCUCUACCACAGUUAAUAAUUUCCUAACUGUUACGAUAUCUAUAAUGCAAUAGACAGAAUUUAAUGAUACUUCAAUGUGUAUGACUUACUGUUACGUUCUAGACUUAUAGGUGGGCUACGUUUGAAAUUAAUAAAACACAGGCGAACUUCUCUAUAGGCGGUGCUCAAGAGUCGAAGCCGCGUUGACACAUCAAAACAUUGGAACCAGACAAUUUGAAACAAUAAUGAAAUAAUGAAAUUAAUAUUUUAAUUGGAUUCGUUUUGCAACAGCCAACAACGGAUCAAAUCAUUAAUGUAAUACAUUACUGUAUUAUUAGAAAGCUCAUCCAGUGAGACAAAAGCACAUGCACCAUUAAUGAUCAAACUCCAUGAAACUUCCAUCUCUCUAUCUCUUUCGCUUCAUUUCUAGCAGCUAUAUAAACCAAUGUCACGUACCUCAAUUUCCAUUAACAAUAUACAUCAAAGAUCUACAAAUUAAAAUGAAGUUUUCUUGCGGUACAAGGUUUGCCUUCUUGGCUCUCUUCCUCUUUGCGCUACAAUCUGUGUGUGUCUAUGCGGGUAGCUUCCACAAAGACGUUCAGAUACAUUGGGGUGAUGGCCGUGGAAAGAUUCACGACAAUGAAGGAAAACUUCUUUCUCUCUCGCUUGACAAAUCCUCUGGAUCCGGUUUCCAAUCCAACCAAGAGUUUCUUUAUGGCAAAGCCGAGGUUCAAAUGAAGCUUGUCCCUGGUAACUCUGCUGGAACAGUCACAACUUUCUAUGUAAGUAACAUAUUGUCUCUAAGCAUUUUUGUCAUAUUUUACUAUACGUUUGAUUACAUAUAGUUAUUGAGCGUGUUGGUGUUUUAUGAUGACUUUGUGUAGCUUAAAGCGCCUGGAACUAUGUGGGAUGAGAUCGAUUUCGAGUUCUUGGGAAACAUAAGUGGUCAUCCUUAUACUCUUCAUACUAAUGUUUACACAAAAGGCACAGGAGACAAAGAACAACAAUUUCAUUUAUGGUUCGACCCAACCCUUGGCUUUCACACUUAUUGCAUCACAUGGAACCCCCAAAGGAUUAUGUAAGUUCUCCUUUGAUCCCUUAUAGUCUCAUAUGUUUUGAGGUUAUGUGUUUAUGAAUCAAUAUUUUCCUCUUUUUUUGUUUGCUUUAUCAGCUUUACAGUUGAUGGUAUUCCCAUCAGAGAGUUCAAGAACUCUGAGUCAAUUGGAAUUCCAUUCCCAAAGGACCAACCAAUGAGAGUCUACGCUAGCCUUUGGGAGGCCGAGCAUUGGGCUACAAGAGGAGGAUUAGAGAAAACAGAUUGGUCCAAGGCUCCUUUUACUGCUUUCUAUAGAAACUACAAUGUGGAAGGAUGUGUUUGGGCUAAUGGAAAAUCAUCUUGUCCAGCGAAUUCCCCAUGGUUCACUCAGACACUCGACAAGAGUGGCAUAGAUAAAGUGAAAUGGGCGCAGAGUAAAUACAUGGUCUAUAACUAUUGCACCGAUACAAAAAGGUUUCCUAAAGGUGUCCCUAAAGUGUGCACUUAAACUAUUGAUUCUUUGAUUUGUCAAUAAGUUAUUGGCGUUGUCUUUGUGAUUCAAAUAAGUUUCAUUUAUUCUGUUUCAUUCAUUUGUUGCUCAUGUAUGUGUGUUUGGUGGUGUAUGUGCAAAUUUAUUAAAUUAAUAAGUGAAUAAUAAAACAAGGGUUUUCGUUACUUAACUUAAUUGGAUCCACUUGAUUUGUGAAAUUUAUAAAAUAUUGAGACCAUUGAUAAGUUCAUUACUAAAAUAGUAAAUUACACAUCAAUUCUUGGGAAGCACAAAUAAAACAGUUUUAUGAGAAAUGAGAAUCAGAAAACUAUAGUAUCGGUUUUGUCUACGCACAAUUGAAUUGAGUAGAAACAAAACAAUUUAGCCAGAAGUAAUGUUUCUCUUAAGUCUUAACGUGUGGGGAAGUUGAUGAUUUUGUAGACUCGACGUCAAAAAUCGGAUCAUGAGCUUUCGUGUUGUUUAUAUUAUACGGCCAGGCUACAAUGCGUGAACAAGAUUAUGUUGAUACAAGGACCAUGAUCGUGAAAGUGGAACACAGUUUGUUUCUUAAUCUCAUAAUUAAUUAUUUGGAAUGGCAGUUUGUCAACGUAGGGACUAAUUUGUCAAACUAAAUUUCAUAUAUACUAAUAAACUUGCGCGUCCAGGCUUAUGUCAUAAAAUCCAGCUAACUAAAUUAUAUUACCCGUAACGUUAUACUAAUCGUCAAAGCUUUUGCUAUUAUUUUACCCAAACAAAGUGAAACAUCUUAUGUUUUUUAGUUUAGCUAGUGGUUUCAACCAUUAAGAGAGUGAAAUGUCAUCUGUAUAGAAAUAUAUUUUUAUGCAACAUUCAAAAUGUGGAAUAUACCAUGCUUUUUUUUUCAUAAAUCAUGGUUAAUUAAAUUAAAGUUGUGGAAAAGUAUAAAAGUGGAUGUUGUUAUUUAACGCAAAUAUUAAUAUAUUCGAACCCUCUAUGCGGCGGGGAGGGUUUGCGCUUAGGUCAAAAGUCGAAGCCGCGUUGACGAAAUGAUUUCGGUACAUUCAGAACGCGGGACCAGCAUGUGAUAUACAAAUUGUCCAAAUACAUUAUUUUCUCUGCUUUGUAAUAAAAAACGAGUAGUGGAAUUAUAUUUUAUGGAAUUAUUUUGUAACAACCAACAAGCGGUCGAAUGCGCCAACUAGAAUACAGCACAAUAUCAAUAAUCAAACCAUGAAACUAUGAAACUUCCCUCUCUUUUUCCUUUGCCAUUUUCCAGCAGCUAUAUAAACUCAUGUCACUUAUCUCAGUUUUUCAUCAACAAAAAACAUUCGAGAUAUCAAUACUACUCAAGAAAUAUAUAAAAUGAAGUUUUCUUGUGGUACAAGAUUCGCGUUCUUGGUUCUCUUUCUGAUUGCAGCACAAUCUGUGGCUGUUUAUGCCGGUAGCUUCCAUAAAGACGUUCAGAUACAUUGGGGUGAUGGACGUGGAAAGGUUCGCGACAGAGAUGGAAAGCUUCUUUCUCUCUCGCUCGACAAAUCAUCUGGUUCGGGUUUUCAGUCCAAUCAGGAGUUUCUCUAUGGCAAAGCCGAGGUUCAGAUGAAACUUGUCGCUGGUAACUCUGCUGGAACAGUCACAACAUUCUACGUAAGUAACAUACCGUUUCGAACAUAUUUGGGCAUCGUUUCCUAUUCGCUAGGUUACAUAUAAUUGAUGAGUACAUUCGUGUUUUAUGAUGACUUGGUGUAGCUUAAAGCGCCUGGAACUAUGUGGGAUGAGAUCGAUUUUGAGUUCUUGGGAAACAUAAGUGGUCAUCCGUAUACCCUCCAUACUAAUGUUUACACACAAGGAUCAGGAGACAAAGAACAACAAUUUCAUUUGUGGUUCGACCCAACAAAGAACUUUCACACAUACUGCAUCACAUGGAACCCCCAAAGGAUUAUGUAAGCAGAUCAUUCCAUCCUUUGCACAUUAAUAUUACAAGUUUUGCGGCCAUACAGAAUCUCAUUAGCUUAUACUUUGUUAAGGUUAAUAAACUUCUCUUAGAUGUUAUUCUAGGUCUCAAUACAUUCUUUCGAUGUAGGAUUCCUAAUAAGUUUUCUUUUAUUUCCUCUUUUUCAGUUUUACAGUCGAUGGUAUUCCUAUUAGAGAGUUCAAGAACUCUGAGUCGAUUGGAGUUCCAUUCCCAAAGAACCAACCAAUGAGGCUCUACGCGAGCCUUUGGGAGGCAGAGCAUUGGGCCACAAGGGGAGGAUUGGAGAAAACAGAUUGGUCAAAGGCUCCUUUUACUGCUUUCUACAGAAACUACAAUGUGGAAGGAUGUGUUUGGGCUAAUGGAAAAUCAUCUUGCCCUGCGAAUUCCCCAUGGUUCACUCAGACACUCGACCAGAGAGGCAUAGAUAAAAUGAAAUGGGCGCAGAGUAAAUACAUGGUCUAUAACUAUUGCACCGAUACAAAAAGGUUUCCUAAAGGUGUUCCUAAAGUGUGCACUUAAACUAUCGAUUCUUUGAUUCGUGAAUGAGUUACUUGGCGUUGUCUUUGUAACUCAAAUGAGUUGUAUCUAUUAUGUUUCAUUCAUUCGUUGCUCAUAUUAUGUGUGUGUGUGUGUUUGUGGAAGAUUUUUUAAGUAAUAACAAAUAAUAAAUUAUGGAAAGAAAAGGUUUCGUUACUACAACUUUAUUGAUUUCACUAGAGUUAUAAAGUUCUUAACAUUUAGAGAGGUUCAAAAUAUAGAAGAAAUACUUGGGUGGAACAUUAAAAACUUAUGCUUAGGGUUGGUUUCAAGUUUGGUCGUAGGAAUGGCUUUGCUUAAUAGUAAGACGAUAAAAGUGAUAUAUAUUAUUUAUAGGGGAUAGGGAUUAGGGAAAACUUUUUACAUAGUAACAGUAUAUUAGGUGACAAUAAAUCACAAUAGAUUCAUAUAUAUCAAGAAGACUUCUACUAAUGCACAAGAGUAACGAGACAUUAUGGUAAAGAAGAGGAAUAAGUCCAAGUGAUACUAGGUACUCAGAACAAUCUAGUCUUUUGCGUCUUAGCACUAAUUUGAAGUUAGUGUCACAAAAAGGAUAAAAUAAUAUAUAGAUUUCAAUAGUAUAAUCUAGCUUUUGUUGUUUUCGAUUUUUGUUGUUCUCUUCUUCUUUUUUUCUGUUGGAUUAGGAUGGAUGUAAACAAAUCUUCAUUCAGAAAAUGUCAAAUCAAUCAAAAGAGUGGAAAAUAAUAUGUGACGAUAUGGAAAAGAAGCAUAGUUGCAAGAUUUUAUGCAUAUGAUACUAGUUAAGAGAAUAUCACCAAAAAAUUAGUACCCUUAUCAAAAACUAGUGACAACAAUUUAGAAUAAGAACUCGUCUUGAGUAACAUAUUGUCUCUAUAUUUACAAAACAAAUAUGUGUUAUUUCGCUAUUCUAGCAGACUGGGCCUAUGGGCUGGCUAAGUAGCUUUACUAAUGCUUGUACAACAAGAAACUAAGAAGACUCAAAAUUGUGUUAGAAACAGCAAUAAUAAAAGCUUGGCCACCAUCAUACCAAACAACAAUGUAAUUUAGCUACUUAUGAAUUGCUUUAUCGUGUAGAUAAAUAGAAAAUUGAGAAAGUUGCACAGAAGAAAAGAGGAAGUUGGAAAAUAACGUAUGAUCAUGAACUUAUGCAUUAAAUUAUUUCCAAAGAAAAUUAGCAUCUAUAUAUCGCGACAAUCGGUUGCACAUACUGGUGUUUAAAUUAGGCAUAUGGACAUUUUGGGUAUAGAUUCGAUUCGGGCGGCAUUUUGGAUAUCAGAUAGUGGGGUUAGAAAAUCCAUAUAGGAACCAACAAAAUUAUUGGUUCAAAUCGGUUUGAAUAGUUUCUGGUUCAUGUCGGUUCAGAUAAUAAAUUAGGAACUGUUUAAUAUACAAAAAAAUCGGUUUUCGUUUUGAUUUCAGUUAUAGUUCCGUUAUUUCGGGUAAUUAGGCUAAUUCAGGUAAAAUAUAUGUUAUUUGGGUAAAAUUUUGAGUAACUAAGAUGAUUCAGAUAAAAAUAUCGGAUUAUUUAGAUAUUUUGGAUAAAUAUCUGAACAUUUUUUGAUAAUUUUUUUUCUCAAAUACAUUGGAUAUUUUUAAUAAUUUUUAGGUAUUAUAUAUAUAUAUAUUUAGUUAUGUUAUAUCUAAUAUAUUACUAGAAAAUUUAUAUAUAUGAAUAUAUGUUUAGUUAUGUUCAGUUAUUUUAGAUAUACAAAUAUAAGAACCAUCCAGUAUAUGAAGAUUUUUUUCAUGUUCCGGUUUUAAUUAUUUUAGUUUGGUUCAUAUUAGGAUCUCCAGUAUUGAUUUUUUUGCCCAAAACUAGUUUAAAUCAUCAGAUUAGCGUUGUGGGUUUAUAUGAGUUUUGUUUAUGCAACUAUUUAAAGGAUCUCCAGCAAGAAACAAAUUUUUGAGGGUGGAUGAUUCUCAAAUGAGGAUUUGAAGGCAGGUUGCUCCAACAAGGAACCUCAAAUAUAUAUUUAAAGUUAUUUUGGAUAUUACAUUUCAAUCUUGAACCUUCGUAAUAAUUAAUUAUAAGCACAUUUUUUAAUAAAUACAUAUUAAUAUGCAAAAGAAAAAUUAUAACUCAUAUAUAUAUACACAUUGGGUUAAUCAAAUAAACUUUUUUUAUUUAUUUUUUCAAGAAAGGCAUCAAUUAGAAAAAGAGUUACAAAAUGGUUUUUUUUUAAAGGCAUCAAUUAGAAAAAGAGUUGCAAAAUGGUUAAAUUAUGUAUGCAUAAUAUUUCUAUUUUACAUAAUAUUAGUGUAUAUUAACAAUUUUGAUUUAAAUUUGGACACAUUUAAGUAUUUUAUGUAUCAAUAAUAACAUAUAUGUAAAUAUAUAUUUGAAUAUUUAAUCGAAAUAUAUUUAUAAAGAUUAAAGUGGUACAAAAUAAUAUAUUAAUAAAAUUAAAUGUAAGUUACAUAAUUGUAAAGACUAAACUGAAAAGUAAAAAGUGUUUUGAGGUUUUAACUAUUUAGAUUUUUAAAAUUUGAAAGUUUGAGGACUUGUUGGAGAAUAAGAACCUUGUUGGAUAUGCUUUUAAGCAUAACAGAAUAUUAUACUCCAUCCGUUCCUAAAUAUAGGAUGUUUUACAGAAUUUUGAUGUUAUAAUAUAAGAUGUUUUCAUUUUUCUAUGUAGUUUUUACUUUAUUAAAAACUGUGUAAUCAAUCAUAUUUAAUAAUCUAUUUUAUAAUUGAUUGAAUACCAUUAAUUUAUAGUUUAAAUGAUAUUUUUUAGACAAAAUUAAUAUCUAUUUUUUUAUCGAGUCAUUUUACAUUUAGAAAUAGAAGGAGUAUUUGAUUUGAAAAAAGAAAAGAUAAAAGAGAAAUGGUUGAUGAUUAUCCGAUAAGGUUGUUAUCGAAACAAGUGGAUAAUAGUAAUAGAUAUUUAACUGCUGAGUGCUGAGGAUUAGUGUUCAGAAAAGUGAUCAUAGUACCAUUAUUAAUACAUAUAACUACUGGCAAUAACCAAGUAUGAAAAGGACAUAGCGACCUACAAGACAAACCAAAAUAAUUGGUGUCAGUUGCUAAUUACGCUUAUCCAUUGAGAUCAGCUGGUUUAUGAAAACGACAUUCAAGCAAUUAUUUUAGUAGAAUAACAUAUGAAGUUAUCUGGUUAGGCACAAUAUGUUCGGUAACAAAUGUAUAUGGACAGUUUAUCUGGUUCUAAAUAAUUGUGUGGUCGUGAGGUGAGACUACAGCUCUCUCUCUCUUUUAUAAUUUUGUAUGCAAUGACGAAUCUAUCGUUAUCACUCAUCAGUCUCAUCUUCCGUGACACUUGGCCAAUAGAGAAAUUUCUAGAACAAAAACUAUAGUCUGUACCAAUGUUGAAAAAUUUCAUAAUUUACCAGAGAGUAGUAAGUUAGUAACUCAGAAAGUCAGAAUAGCAGACCUUUAGUACAUUAUAUAACGUUUCAAACAAUAUUCUGAAACAUUUAAUCGCUUAAACAUGAAAUGGGGGUGAUAAACGUUCUAAAACAUACAUAUGAUAUUAAGUUGACCUCGUCUAUAUUGUUUGUUUAAUCUCGAAUAUAUCCAAACACAAAAUUUUGGUUUUGGAUUACAAAAAGAAAGCUGUAUAUCCACGAAUUAAUUAAUUAAUUGAUUUAUUAAAAUUUACAAAUUUGUUUCUUCAAAAUAAAUAAAAAUCUUUGGUCUUCUCAAAAAAAAAUUAGUUGAUAUUUUUAUUUACCAAGUCGCCUCGGCAUAUUGGUAAAUGAUCUCUAGCUGGAAUUUCAGUUUUGGGUUAGAGUAGUAUUGGUCACCUGACCGCAUUCUUAACGAUGAGAUUUUGUAUACCUGGUUGCAAGUUUUCGUGAGAUUAGUUUUUAAACUUAAAAGCUUUUCGGAUUCUAACGGUUAUCAAAAAAAAAUACUACUAUUUUUAGGUCAGCCAGAAGAUAUGGUUACCAAGAAAUUUGAAUGUAAUUUCAAUAAUGACUAUAUAACUUUUCUGAAAAUUAAUACGAACCUGCAACAUUUAUGGAGGCCGGAAUUGACAAGACCAUACAUAGUUGUCCGAGAUAUGGGUUCGUUAAAAUGAAAUAAUAUGGUUGAGUUGAACUAACAGUAAGAUUAGGCCCCUGAUUAAGAAUUAUGAUGAGCCAUUACACUAAGAAAUUAAUUUUGUACUGCUACAGCUGUAAAGCUUACUGGGACCAAGUUGACGUUUGGUUAGGCGGUCCAAAUCAAAAUUUCCGUGUCAGGAAAAUUCAUCCAAUGAAUCAUAUAUAUUCAUAUGUAACUUCUUGUAAUAGUAUUCGCUUUAAUUACGUAGCUAUCCUAUCUUAAUUCUUAUGGUCCAUAGAUUCCAUACUAUUACAUACUCAAAACUCCAAAGUAUGUAUGCAUGCUACUAUUUAAAACCAAACUGUCUUUUGUUUUUACCGCAAGUAUGUCGGUGUAAUAAUAAAGUUAAAUUGUGUUUGACAAGGACUUUCAUAAAUUUAUCCAUGCUUUCUGUUACAGAACUCUUAACCUUUAAAGUGGCGGUUCUUUAGCCCAAAAAUAAAGUGGUCUCUGUGAUCUGAAUAGUUUUACAUUCAAUCUAAUGGUCAAGUUCCACAUGCCAUAUUUUACCCAAGAAGAAGGGUAAAAUAUUAAAUAUUAACGCGUAGGAAAUUUUCAACAGGUUAUGGCUUCAAGUGUUGGAUACUCCUCGUCGACCUACAUGCAUAUAUGAGUUUUUUUUGUCACAAUCAUAUAUGAAUUUUAACAUGUUGAUAAUCUAUACUUUUAUGAUAUUACUUGACCAAAAAAUGUGAAAAGACUAUGUUUUUUGGGGAAAAUUCGACAAUUUGUUAGUACUUUUUGGCGUAAAAACAGAAGAAAAAAAAUCAGCAAAAAGAAAUUGGAAAUGCCAAAUGUUGACAGUUCCUGUAAAUGAACAAAUGCGGAUGGAAGUAGUUUUGGAGCUUGAAAAAAACAGCCUUUGAGUUUGGACCACUCAUAUUCAUUAGACAUUUCCAAUAAAUAUCAGUAGUUGUCCUCAUAGACAGGCAUUAAAUUUAGAGAAUUUAUUUUGUUUGUGGUUUCCUCGAUUUAAUUCUACCUGAAAUAUGGACUAAUAGCUGUUCUAAUUUGUCAUAUGUGUAUUCCAACAAGUGUUGGGUAUUGUUAUACUACUAUACAUCAAUUUCAUAUCACAAAACAUGAAUUAGACCUAUACGUAUGGUUGCAUAUAUUGAUUUAUAACUUUACAUUUCUUUGCAAUGGAACAUCUUUAUUGAGUCCUUCCAUUAAUUAGUGAGCAACCAAAAGAAAUUGACCUUUUUGAUUUACAAGAAAGAGAGAGGAAGAAAACGUGUCAAUGCUACCACUACUUGCACCUUUGCUAACGCAACCAAACCUUUAACCCAUACAAUUAAACUUUUCGUAGUUGCUUCUAUGCUCCAUACACAUAAUAACAAAAUCAGACUGAAUCACAUCGUUUCGUAAUAUAUACCAGUUGCUAGGAAAAUGUGUACGAUCGGAAACCUAUGUUAUAUGCAUGUAGAAAAGUUGGACUUGAGGGUCGAAGCAAGUUUUAUUCAAGAAUAUGGUAAAGUUAACGACCCCAUAAUUGGAUACAUACAAACUCUUAAAACUAGAAAAAAAAAUAUCAAAAUAUAUAUAUUCCAAGACAAAAUAUAUGCCAAAUAUAUAUUGUCCUUAAAUUUCAACGAAAUUCGAAGUCGAACAAUUCCACACGUAAUAUCCCUCUAGACCUCUUAUUAUUCUUUCCUCCUCCCACUAGACAGGCCUCUACGUGGUAAUGAAGAUAUACAAACAAUUUUGAAUUUGGAAAUUCGUGUAAAAUAUCUACAAAGCAUGCAACCAAUUAUAUAGCAAACGUUAUUUAAACAAUUCUUAAAGCUAAAAGUCAAAACUGGCAAACAAAGAAAAAAUAAAGAAAGUACUCAAGUACUAUUAACCAAAGGGAAAGUUAAUACUAGCAUUUAUCAAUACACGACUUUAAAGAAGAGCAGAUAUCAACUCAUAAUUUGUAAUCUUCUCAAACAUACUUUUAAGAAUGAAACAACUCGUUUCUAACAGUAUGACCAUGUUUAUAUUUCAAUUAAGAUUGUAAAAUAAUCUGCUCACCAAAUGAUGGAAGUAAUCGAGAGUCCAGCUGUAAUACAUCUUGCAUGCAAUGUCCUGAUAUUUAGCCUCUUUUGUUCACCCACUCUCCUCUUAACAUUACUUAUUAUUCUCCACCCCACUAUAUAUAUCUCUCUCCCUUCUUCUCUCUUCCUCACAUUCCUCACCAAACUCCAAACACAUACACCCACACGUACGCACACAUAACAAUGUCUCCUUUCAAAAUAUUCCUCUUCUCAGCUCUCCUCGCGGCGGCGUUUUUAGCCUCCGCCGCUGACUUCAACAGCGACGUCAACGUGGCUUGGGG
RNAcentral lists this long non-coding RNA (37793 nucleotides) under Brassica rapa (field mustard). RNAcentral's name for it is "long non-coding RNA (BRAP_LNC000075)". Lineage: Eukaryota; Viridiplantae; Streptophyta; Magnoliopsida; Brassicales; Brassicaceae. The record is from RNAcentral.